UCUGAAUAUUCCUGCAGAAAUACUGGAGUUUUGAGGGUGCUGCGCCCCUCCCCUGACUCAGGCAAUGGCAAGGCCCUACUGAGGUGGAUGGCGCAAGGCGUCCAUCCUCUGGAGGAGCGCAGUAUGUUUCUGGGAAUGGGCUGGUUUGUUUUUGUAUUCCUUUAAUAAGUAUAGUGGCGACUUCUCAUAUGACCAUUAAGUAUGAAGGAAAAAACAUGACUUUCCCAACUAAUGCAACUACUUCUAAAGAAUAGAUCUGUUUGCUCUAAAUGCAAUGAUUCAGCUGUGGAGUGUAAAUUGUUAAUGUCU
This 309-nucleotide long non-coding RNA is filed under the name Marmota monax (woodchuck). The record is from RNAcentral. Lineage: Eukaryota; Metazoa; Chordata; Mammalia; Rodentia; Sciuridae.